RNAcentral lists this long non-coding RNA (606 nucleotides) under Homo sapiens (human). RNAcentral's name for it is "HSALNT0172913". Lineage: Eukaryota; Metazoa; Chordata; Mammalia; Primates; Hominidae. The record is from RNAcentral.
AAUGCUUCCCAAUCUCACUCAUGAGAAAAAUGGGAUGCUUAAGUCAACCAGGAAGCAAGCUCAAGAAGAGGCAUCUCAUUUAAGGCCAAAAGGUAGUUCCCAACACAGGUGGAAGAAUAGGAUGAAGGUGUAUAGUCAAGAAGGGUGCAGGAGAGACUGAGUUUUCCGUCUUCAUGAGACCGUCAUCCCAGUGGUUCCACAUUUCUCUGGUUUGGCAAGAACUCCCACUAUAUCAGGAAUACCCAUUCUUAAAUUGGAACAGUAACAUAAUUGUAUAUGUCAAAUAUAAAUUUCCAACUGCUCAUCUUUUGGAUUAUUUGCACCAUGGCUUCCUCUCCUUUCUCAGAAUUUCCAGUCCAGACAGGCCAGCCUCUGGCAUUCUUAGUCUUGUCUUUUCUUCUCCUUUUAUCUUUAUUCCCAAUCUUUCCCAAGGUAACUCUUAACUUUCUCCUGACUAUCUUACAAUUGUCCCUAAGACCUGAGAAUCGAUCCUGCUACUCACUCUGCCCCACUUUGCAACUGCACUUCAUUUUUAAUCCUCAAUCCAGACCAUGAUGGGUGGUAUCUAACCUCAAAAAUUAGCUCCAGUCCUAAGGCAAGUGUCCC